Long non-coding RNA from Dermochelys coriacea (leatherback sea turtle), 1460 nucleotides. RefSeq lists it as uncharacterized. The transcript has 3 exons. NCBI's taxonomy places the organism in Eukaryota, Metazoa, Chordata, Testudines, Dermochelyidae. The record is from RefSeq and is a predicted model, not a curated record.
CUAAAAAAGCAAACAGUAGGGUAAGAAAUAAAAAUAUACGUGUCUGCCUGAACUCAAGCCUUUGUGGUCUAAUUUGCAUACCUCAGGAUUUAUAGCAGUUCCAUGGUACUGAGCAGAAGCAGAACUGAGAUCUAAAUCAUCCUACAAGCUUCAAGAAAGAAGUGGCCUGUUAGACACACAAAUAAUCAGCCAAAACCAGACAUGGGCCGUUACUGGGAAGAAAACGGGACUCUCAUGAGUUACCUUCUACACUCCCCAAGGAUAACGGAGACUGAAAUUGGAUAGUCUGAAGUGAACGUGUCCUGUAUUAAGAUUACAGCUCCUUGCAUUAAACAGCUCCACAAAUGGUUACAGUCCUUCAGGUUUGGAUGGAAACUCACAAAAGCAAGAACAUAUAGUCAAGAGUGAAAAACUACUGCAUUGUGUGUAACAAACAAAGUCACUGUUGUUGUUUCUUCACAAUGCAACCAGUUAAGGCCAUUGGUGGUAGCCAUAUUGUUCAAAUUAAAUGGUUUAUUUUUUUUCCUAGUUUUGAUUGCAGUUAAAUUAAUCUUUCUUAUCUGAAACGCUGAGAUUUGCUAAAUUCUGUAAUUGGAGUAAGAAUACUGUACACCAGGACCUUCUAACCAGCCAAAAAGAUUCCAAACUUUCUGCCCUACUACUAUCUAGGAGGGAACAGAACACCAUAAGAGCUCAUAUGACCAUGGGACCUCUCACCCAUGGAGAGUUAGUGGGUGAUAAUAUAAUACCUGUUAGGUCAACUGGCCCAUCCCACUUCCUCUGUGUAUUUUUUUUCCUAGAGUUUUGUUCUAAUUUAAAACUUUCAAAGCAAUGGGGCUUUUACUACUUCCUUUGGGAGAUUAUAUCACAGGCUCAUCUUUACUGACAAAAAGGGUGUGUUUUUACUGCUCAGUAACUAAUAUGGAUUAGCUAUCCAGCUAUAAAAUUCUAGUGGAGACAAGGCACUUUCAUUUCACUGCAAGAUAAACUACGCGUGGUCAACCCCAGAUGAGGAUAUAGUGCUGACCUCACCUGAUUACUUUGCAGAAACAACUGCAGGUGCCUUGUCUCCAGUUAAGAUUAACAAAUGCACAAUAGUUAAAAACACCUUUUUAAGCAGCGAAGACAAAGCUAAGAGCUCUCUCGGUUAGGGAAUGUGACCUGAUGGCAGCCUAAGUAGCCUUGCACAGAUAUAGUCCUUGUAUCCCCCUAAGUAUUUCCUCUCUUCUUUGCUGUUCACGCCCUUCAAAACCUUGUGGGUGGCCUUCCUGUUCUGUGCCUCCAUUGUAUAUAGGUCAUUACUCUGCUUCCAUGGAGCCUCCCUAUGUCCUUUCUGAAAUGGGAAGAUUCAUUAGCCACUUGCCAGUGUUCUGGCAUUACCCGCCUCCGUAGUAAGCUUUCAAUCUCCUUUGCUAGUGGCUUUCUUCACUCUUUGCUAUUCCCCUUUCAGAACCAAUAUU